Molecule: long non-coding RNA, 817 nt
Organism: Anguilla rostrata (American eel)
Lineage: Eukaryota; Metazoa; Chordata; Actinopteri; Anguilliformes; Anguillidae
Exons: 2
Source: RefSeq, a predicted model, not a curated record
CCCUUUUCUUUCUAGCCUGCUCUAACGCUGAGUUCUGCAAUUGCCUGCACCUGUCUCUUGCUCUAACUGCACCUCUCUCUCUCUGCACGUGUUUUACCUGCUAAACCCAGGCCGUCUGUUAUCAUUGUUGUCUAUGUGAUUCCAGUCCGCGUUUUGUCAGUCCCCUGUCAUUUAAUUAGUUAUCCUAAUGUUCUUCACCUGGAUGUUGUUUGUUACUCCGCCCUCACUCACGUAACCCCUCCUUGAUUGUUACCUUCCCCAGUGUAUAAAUGUCAGUCUUUUCCACCAAGUCCCUGUCAGAACGUUGAUCAUAUUCAUUGUGCCGAUUAUUUGUAAGCCUUUGUUUAUUGAGAUUCUUGCGACACCCCUUUGCCCGACUUCGAGUUUGCCUGCCCCUUUUGGUUUUGUUUGAUCUGGUUCGACCUUCGCUUUUCUUUGACUUCUCUUUUGCCUGCCCCUUUGUACCUUCGCUAUUUCUGAUCUCCUGGUUUUUGACUUUUUGCCUGUCUUUUUACUUUUCUUUUGGAAACUCGAUUCUGUACCGCACUCUCUCUGAUCACCUGGCUACGAACUUCGCACUGAUUAAAGACGACGUUUUCUUGGAUUUCCCUGGUCUGCGUGUGGGUCCUUACACAGAACAUCACAAAGUGAGGUCUGACAAAGGCUGGGUUGGUGUAAUCUCACAGAGGGCUGCUGUGAUGUUCUGGCCUCAGUCCUGCGCUCUCCUCACUCAGAGCUGAGAGAUCUGGAGCUCAGAGACAAUGAGCUGCAGGAUUCAGGAGUGAGAGCGCUCUCUGCUGGACUGGAGGACCCACAC